AGCUCAGUUGGUAAAGAAUCUGCCUGCCAUGCAGGAGACCCAGGUUCAAUUCCUGG
This 56-nucleotide transfer RNA is filed under the name Ovis aries (sheep). It matches the Rfam family "tRNA", at positions 9 to 63 of the family's 71-position model. Rfam says of the family: Transfer RNA (tRNA) molecules are approximately 80 nucleotides in length. Their secondary structure includes four short double-helical elements and three loops (D, anti-codon, and T loops). Further hydrogen bonds mediate the characteristic L-shaped molecular structure. tRNAs have two regions of fundamental functional importance: the anti-codon, which is responsible for specific mRNA codon recognition, and the 3' end, to which the tRNAs corresponding amino acid is attached (by aminoacyl-tRNA synthetases). tRNAs cope with the degeneracy of the genetic code in two manners: having more than one tRNA (with a specific anti-codon) for a particular amino acid; and 'wobble' base-pairing, i.e. permitting non-standard base-pairing at the 3rd anti-codon position. The record is from Rfam by way of RNAcentral. Lineage: Eukaryota; Metazoa; Chordata; Mammalia; Artiodactyla; Bovidae.